This is a long non-coding RNA of Astatotilapia calliptera (eastern happy), 352 nucleotides long. Lineage: Eukaryota; Metazoa; Chordata; Actinopteri; Cichliformes; Cichlidae. The record is from Ensembl.
CAGGCCCUGGUGUGGUGUAGGUGGCAUCAGCUAGCAGCACAAGACAUUGGAAAACAGCCAAAAGCAAUGUCGUUAAUGUGCCCUCAUUAAUGGGCAGCUGCUUUUGGUCUUUUAAUACACCCCUUCUCUGGAUCAAAAGCGGUUCAAUGACAUGAAAAUGAAAGGCUUACAGCACCAGGUAUUCCCAGGCAGUCUCCCAUCCAAGUACUAACCAAGCCCAGCCCUGCUUAGCUUCCGAGAUCAGACGAGGUCGGGCGUGCUCAGGGUGGUAUGGCCGUAAGCUGCUGGCCCCAGCACAAUGUCUCAAUUUAUGGAUUCAACUGAUUAGGUGGCAAGUACCUGAAGUUACGAA